GAUGAACGCUAGCGGCAGGCCUAACACAUGCCAGUCGAGGGAGAAGCCCUUUCGGGGGCCGAAACCGGCGCACGGGUGCGUAACGCGUAUGCAACCUACCUUUCACAGGGGGAUAGCCCGAAGAAAUUUGGAUUAAUACCCCAUAAUAUUAUUGGAUGGCAUCAUUUGAUAAUUAAAACUGCGGUGGUGAAAGAUGGGCAUGCGUCCUAUUAGCUAGUUGGAGUGGUAACGGCACCCCAAGGCUACGAUAGGUAGGGGUCCUGAGAGGGAGAUCCCCCACACUGGUACUGAGACAGGGACCAGACUCCUACGGGAGGCAGCAGUGAGGAAUAUUGGUCAAUGGUCGGAAGACUGAACCAGCCAUGCCGCGUGCAGGAAGAAUGCCUUAUGGGUGGUAAACUGCUUUUAGAUGGGAAGAAUAAGGCGUACGUGUACGUUGAUGACGGUACCAUAUGAAUAAGCAGCGGCUAACUCCGUG
This 478-nucleotide ribosomal RNA is filed under the name uncultured bacterium. Its description in RNAcentral is "partial 16S ribosomal RNA". It matches the Rfam family "Bacterial small subunit ribosomal RNA", at positions 28 to 507 of the family's 1533-position model. The record is from RNAcentral.